This 5332-nucleotide long non-coding RNA is filed under the name Pelobates cultripes (western spadefoot toad). The record is from RNAcentral. Lineage: Eukaryota; Metazoa; Chordata; Amphibia; Anura; Pelobatidae.
CCCCCUUCCAGAGCCGGGCGGGAGGGGGACCCUGAGGGUGGGGGCACCCUCAGGGCACUAUAGUGCCAGGAAAACGAGUAUGUUUUCCUGGCACUAUAGUGGUCCUUUAAUAGGUAGAACAUACUUCCAUUUAUUUAUUGGCAGUCCUUUGUAAAGAGUAGAGCUCCUUCCAUUUAGAGGCACUCCUUUAUAAUGGGUCGAACAUCCUUCUUUUAUUUUUUGGCACUCCUUUGUAAUGGGUGGAACAUCCUUUCAUUUAGUGGCACUCUUUUGUAAUGGGUAGAACAUCCUUCCAUUUAGUGGCACUCCUUUGUAAUGGGUAGAGCAUCCUUCCAUUAAUGUUGCACACCUGGUAAUGGGUAGAACAUCCUUCCAUUUAGUGGCACUCCUCAUAAUGGGUAGAACAUCCUUCCAUUUAGUGACACUCCUUGUAAUGGGUGGAACAUCCUUCCAUUUAGUGGCACUCCUCGUAAUGGUUAGAACAUCCUUCCAUUUAGUGGCACUCCUCGUAAUGGGUAGAACAUCCUUCCAUUUUGUGGCACUCCUCGUAAUGAGUAGAGCAUCCUUCCAUUUAGUGGCACUCCUCGUAAUGAGUAGAGCAUCCUUCCAUUUAGUGGCACUCCUUUGUAAUGGAUAGAACAUCCUUCCAUUUAGUGGCACUCCUUCGUAAUGGGGAGGAAAUCCUUAUAUUUAGUGGCACUGUGUCAUAAUUGGUGUUAUUUAUUUUCAUUUGGUGUCAGUCCUUAAUGGAUGGAUUAUCUUUAAGUUGGCAGUGCCUUGUGCUUGGCAGGUAUUGGGUGAGUGGUGGCUGUUCUUUCUGGGUAGGUUUAGAAUGGAGUGAAGGUUCCCUUCAAUGACUAUGAUUAGACAGGUUCUCUCAAUGAGUUUAAUUAGACAGGUUCUCUCAAUGAAUAUAAUAAGGCAAGUUCUCUCGGUGAGUUUGAUAGGACAGGUUCCAUCUGUGAGUAUAAUAAGACAGGUUUUCUCGGUGAGUAUAAUAAGACAGGUUCUAUCUGUGAGUAUAAUAAGACAGGUACUCUCAAUGAGUAUAAUAAGACAGGUUCUAACGGUGAGUAUAAUAAGACAGGUUCUCUCAGUGAGUAUAAAAAGACAGGUACUCUCAGUGAGGAUAAAAAGACAGGUACUCUCGGUGAGUAUAAUAAGACAGGUUCUCUCGGUGAGUAUAAUAAGACAGGUGCUCUCAUAGAGUAUAAUAAGACAGGUUCUCUCAGAGAGUAUAAUAAGACAGGUUCUCUCAGUGAGUAUAAUAAGACAGGUUCUAUCGGUGAGUAUAAUAAGACAGGUUCUCUCAGUGAGUAUAAUAAGACAGGUUCUCUCAGUGAGUAUAAAAAGACAGGUACUCUCAGUGAGUAUAAUAAGACAUGCUCCCUAAAUGGAUAAGACAUUCAAUAAAUAUCUGAUUAGACCCGCCAUUCUAUCAUGUUUAAGAGGAGUAAACAGAGAAUGGUGAUUUUUUUUUUCACUUUCUGUUACAGACAUUUAUAGACAAUGAGUAAUAAGGCUUAGGUUUGUAAAUAAUAUUGAAAUGCUGUGACAAUUGACGUAACAGAAGAUUCAAUCCUGAUCCACGUCAGGUUUGCCAGUUACUGUCACCAUUCUUUCUCCAGCAUUGCCCUAACAAGUCUUUCCUUCAUUGACUGACCAAAUUAAUUACUUAUCUAGACUCUCAGUGAUGUGCCACUGGAUUCCUAAUCCCUCAGUGACGUGCCACUGGAUUCCUUAUCCCCCAGUUUAGUGACGUCCCACUGGAUUCCUAGUCCCUCAGUGACGUGCCACUGGAUUUCUAAUCCCCCAGUUAGUGACGUGCCACUGGAUUUCUAUUUUCUUAGCUCAGAGACAUGCCUCUGGAUUUAUAGUUCCACAGCUCAGUGAUGUGCCAUUAGAUUCCUAGCCUCUCAAUGAUGUGUCACUGGAUUCCUAGUCCCUCAGUGAUGUCACUGGAUUUCUAGUCUCUCAGUGAUGUGUCACUGGAUUCCUAGUCUCUCAAUGAUGUGUCACUGGAUUUAUAGUUCCCCAGCUCAGUGACAUGCCAUUAGAUUCCUAGCUCCUCAAUGAUGUGUCACUGGAUUUCUAGUCUCUCAGUAAUAUGUCACUGGAUUCCUAGUCUUUCAGUAAUAUGUCACUGGAUUCCUAGUCUCAGUGAUGUUUCACUGGAUUCCUAGUCUCAGUGAUGUGUCACUGGAUUCCUAGUCUCUCAAUGAUGUGUCACUGGAUUUAUAGUUCCCCAGCUCAGUGACGUGCCAUUAGAUUCCUAGCUCCUCAAUGACGUGUCACUGGAUUUCUAGUCUCUCAGUAAUAUGUCACUGGAUUCCUAGUCUUUCAGUAAUAUGUCACUGGAUCCCUAGUCCCUCAAUGAUAUGUCACUGGAUUCCUAGUCCCUCAAUGAUGUGUAACUGGAUUCCUACUCCCUCAAUGAUGUGUCACUGGAUUCCUAGUCUUUCAGUAAUAUGUCACUGUAUUUCUAGUCCCUCAAUGAUGUGUCACUGGAUUCCUAGUCUCAGUGAUGUGUCACUGGAUUCCUAGUCUCUCAAUGAUGUGUCACUGGAUUCCUAGUCUCAGUGAUGUGUCACUGGAUUCCUAGUCUCUCAAUGAUGUGUCACUGGAUUCCUAGUCUCAGUGAUGUGUCACUGGAUUCCUAGUCUCUCAAUGAUGUGUCACUGGAUUUCUAGUCUCUCAAUGAUGUGUCACUGGAUUUCUAGUCUCUCAAUGAUGUGUCACUGGAUUCCUAGUCUCAGUGAUGUGUCACUGGAUUCCUAGUCCCUCAAUGAUGUGUCACUGGAUUCAUAGUCUCAGUGAUGUGUCACUGGAUUCCUAGUCCCUCAAUGAUGUGUCACAGGAUUUCUAGUCUCUCAAUAUGUCACUGGAUUUCUAGUCUCUCAAUGAUGUGUCACUGGAUUUCUAGUCUCUCAAUGAUGUGUCACUGGAUUCCUAGUCCCUCUAUGUUGUAUCACUAGAUUUCUAGUCUCUCAGUGAUGUGUCACUGGAUUUCUAGUUCCCAUGCUCAAUGAUGUGCCACUGAAUUCUUAAUCCAUCAUUGACAUGCCACUGGAUUUUUAUUCCCUCAAUUAAGAGAUGCGCCACAAGGUUUUUGGCCCCCAGCUCAGUGAUGGAUUUCUAGUCACUGGAUUACUAGUCUCUCAGAGAUGUGCCACUGGAUUUCUAGUCCCCCAGCUCAGUGAUGGAUUUCUAGUCACUGGAUUACUAGUGUCUCAGUGAUGUGCCGCUGGAUUUCUAGUCCCCCAGCUCAGUGAUGUGCCACUGGAUUUCUAGUCUCUCAGUGAUGUGCCGCUGGAUUUCUAGUCCCCCAGCUCAGUGAUGUGCCGCUGGAUUUCUAGUCCCACAGCUCAGUGAUGUGCCACUGGAUUUCUAGUCCCCCAGCUCAGUGAUGUGCCGCUGGAUUUCUAGUCCCCCAGCUCAGUGAUGUGCCACUGGAUUACUAGUCUCUCAGUGAUGUGCCACUGGAUUUCUAGUACCCCAGUGUUGUCCUACUGGUUUUCCAGUCCCUUAGCUCGUUAACAUACCACUGGAUUUCUAGUCCUUUGGUGAUGUGCCACUGGAUUUCUAGUCCCUUAGUGUUGUGCCACUAGAGUUCUAGUUCUCCUGCUCUGUGACAUGCCACUGAAUAUGUAAUCCCUCACCUCAAUGACAUGCCACUGGAGUUUUAGUCUCUCAGAUCAGUUUCGUACCACUGGAUUCCUAGUCCCUCAGUGACAUUCCACUGGAUUUCUAGCUCUCAGUUCAGCGACGUUCCACUUGAUCUCUCGUCCUUCAGUAACUGGAUUUCUAGUCCCCCAGUUCAGUGACCAUCCACUGUAUCUCUCAUCCCUCAUUGACGUGCCACUGGAUUCCUACUCCCCAGUGACAUUACACUGGAUUUGCAGUCCCUCAGCUCAAUGCCGUACCACUGGUUUCUAGUUUCCCAGAUCAGUGGCAUACCACAGGAUCUCUCAUCCAUUAGUGAUGUGCCACUGGAUUUUUGUUCCCUUGGUGAAGUGCCACUGGAUUUCUAGUCCCCCCACCUCAGUAAUGUGUCCCUGGAUUUCUGUUCCCAUAGCUCAGUUAUGUGCCAUUGUAUUUAGGACAGUCUUACUCAAGAAGAUUAGUGUUACUUGUUGACGUUCACCUUCAGUUUCAUUCAUGCACAUUGUUUGCCACUUUAGUUUAAUUUUUAUUAGGUUUUUUUGUAUAUGUUGUGAUCAAAUUUUUUUCUUUUUAUUAAUUCUUUAAACACUAAGUACAUUCACCCUUGUGAUUGUGUUUCCAAAUGAUCCCAGGUUCUCCUUUCUGUGACUCUGGCACGGCCCUUUCACCUCCGACCUUGAUGAUAUUUUGCUUCAUGUUAGAUGCUGCCACCGUUUCCCGAUAUUCUUGUCCUGCGUUUCCCUCCUCCCUUCCUCCUACACACAUGGACACACACCCGUGCACACACUCAAAAUAAAUACAUGUAUGAUGCAGUCUAUAUGUCCUUUAUUGAGGGCCUACAAUGUAGACUUAUCAAACUGCCCAAAUUAUUUUUUAAUGGGUUGUGAUGUUUUAUGGGCAUUUUUGAAACUCAAGACAUAUGGGACUACUAAUCAAACUUACCCAGGUUUAAAAUGGCAGAAUAUGAAGUCACAUGACCCAUGGGGAACGCUACUUAGAGCAUUUUACAAAAACCUUAGCUAAUAAGAUAAAUCAGAAGGUCUAAUUACACGUUACUCAUAGGGUAUUCCUGCGUAUUCAUGUAAUCCCCAAGGGGCUACAGUGACACAUAGGUUAUUUUUGUACCCUGGGUGAAGUUAGGUCCCUCCUCCUAGACUUACAGGACACUUGCUAAGACCUGGUGCUCCAACGCAUUUCGUGUCCAACUUCACCUUAUCCGUGGACAGAAGUGCAUCUGACACUGACAUCCAAAACACACGUACACACAAGCCUGUAAAGAUUGCACUAGUUGUGAGGUGUUAUGUAUAUUGAUGUAACGGGAAUGUUUAAUUGCUAUUUUGUAUCAAUCAAAAAAAAAAAAGGUUGCUAUUAAAUAAUUUUUUUGUGAUUGGAGCUAAAAAAAAAACCUUUCUCUUUUGAUAAACAUAAUGUGCUCUUUUUAAUAUUAUUAUUUGUACAGCUGAAAGUGAGAAUGGAUAAUAUUUAUUUGUGUGUAUACUGCUGAAUUCUGCCUCACAACAAAGUAUCAUGGAGUUGUGACAAACAGUGCUAAUUUCUAUCCAUUUGUCGCAAAGCAGCACUGUGCGUUCCCUCUGGUAGCGAAGUGUUUAAACAUAUGAUCUGAUCAUUAAAUAUGUCUAUUUUUUAAAGAGAUACAAAUUCUUCUGCC